UUUACCUUGAAAAUUGUUAUGUAUAAAUCUUUUUUUUUUUUUGGCAACUGGUCAUUUCAACUAAAAUUCAUCAAGUGGGUAUUUACAAAGUUAUAAGGUAUUGAAAUUGUCCUUUUUUACGGGUGUGAGGGGUAUGUAGAAACUUUAUACAUUUUUUUUUUAUAAAAACAUAAACUCAAAAGUAGCCUAUCAAUUUUGUAUUACAAAUGUAGAGAGAAUUCAACUUUGAAAACAAGACGAUAUUCAUUGAACUUUCAGAAUUUGCCAUUCUUUUGAGUAUGUUUUUUGCCACAUAAGAUAUUUUAAAAAUACAUAAAUAGUACUGCUAGAAAGUGGCACAUUAAGUUUGCAGGAAUAGAUCUUACUUUUGCACUAAAGAAAUUCUUAAUGGUCUAAAAGGCAUUACGUUUGCACGAAAUUAACCUGUUGAAAAGUCACUACUUUUGCACAGAUUGAGCUAAAAACGAAAAUGUAUAUCUUCAAGACAAAUAAAGGACAAAAUCCUUCAUUUUUUAAUGAUAUACUUUACAUUUGGAUUCUAAGUUGAAAAACGGAGAUAUUUCCUGGAAAUGCACAAAAAAAAUGGCAAAUUUGUAGAAUUUGGGCUGACCGAGAAUGCAAAGUAUAACUAACAGGAACAAAUGUACAUAACCAUGAUAUUGAUAAACGCAAAUUAGAAACCCAGAAAAUUGGAAAGAAAAUGAUAAGAAUGCUUCAGACAUUUCCACUUGUCUGUCAAAAAUUAUUUGUUAAAAACUUCAGGCAAAUGGUGCUUCUGCCACAAAACUUAAUGUGUUCUAAUAAUCAUAUUCAUGUAUACUGUGUUUUAUUCAUGACUGUAUCCUAUGAAUGUUCCAUUCCCGGAUAUUAACAGUAUUUCAGUCAUUAAUCUCAUAAGAUAACUCAUUAUCCUCCAAAAAAAAAACCAAGUAAAAUUCAGGUUAUUCUUCUCAGGAUUAAAAACUUCUUGCAAACGUUAAACUAUUUCUUUGCACAAACAUAAAGCUUGUGAUAUUCUAAUUCACACAAAUGUAGG
This 1036-nucleotide long non-coding RNA is filed under the name Mytilus galloprovincialis (Mediterranean mussel). The record is from RNAcentral. Lineage: Eukaryota; Metazoa; Mollusca; Bivalvia; Mytilida; Mytilidae.